AGCAACUUGACGCAGCGGAAGCGUGCAGGGCUCAUACGCUUAGCAGUGAAACCCUGAAGUCCCUGGAUCGAAACCAGGAGUUGCUA
This is a non-coding RNA of Fomitopsis schrenkii, 86 nucleotides long. NCBI's taxonomy places the organism in Eukaryota, Fungi, Basidiomycota, Agaricomycetes, Polyporales, Fomitopsidaceae. The record is from the annotation of a GenBank genome assembly.